RNAcentral lists this unclassified non-coding RNA (731 nucleotides) under uncultured Prochlorococcus sp. RNAcentral describes it as "partial may contain 16S ribosomal RNA, 16S-23S ribosomal RNA intergenic spacer, and 23S ribosomal RNA". The stretch from base 341 to 413 matches the Rfam family "tRNA". The record is from RNAcentral. Lineage: Bacteria; Bacillati; Cyanobacteriota; Cyanophyceae; Synechococcales; Prochlorococcaceae.
GACGCCGAAGGUGGGGCUGAUGACUGGGGUGAAGUCGUAACAAGGUAGCCGUACCGGAAGGUGCGGCUGGAUCACCUCCUAACAGGGAGACAAAAACUGAUCGUGAUGCCUAAGUGAAUAUUCUUAGGUCAUGAUCCUGUCACCUUAGGUCGAUCGGUACCUCAAAUUGAUAAUGAAUUAGGACCUGAGAUUCAGCUCUUAAUUAUUAAUUUCAGUUCCUAAACUUUGUCUAGGUCACACCCAGCAAGGGUACUCCUGGGCCAUUAGCUCAGGUGGUUAGAGCGCACCCCUGAUAAGGGUGAGGUCCCUGGUUCAAGUCCAGGAUGGCCCAUUCGGUGUUGGGGGUAUAGCUCAGUUGGUAGAGCGCCUGCUUUGCAAGCAGGAUGUCAGCGGUUCGAGUCCGCUUACCUCCACUGAUCAACUUCCUGAUAGCGAGAAAGAAGGAGAUUCUCUUGCUUUAAUUGACUUAGACGUUGUUUUAUCUGAAACGAACCUAGCUUCCUAUCAUUCCUUGUUUAACUAAAACUUAGACCAGGUUGACAGGAAACUGGGCUCUAUACAAUUCGAGAGAAUUGUAGAGAUGUUCAGUAGAACCUUGACAACUGCAUAGGUGAGUCUGGAAAGAAUAAAAGCAUCUCAUGGAUGCAUUAUUCUUUAAUUUAUUAUCAACCGAUCGGUUGAUAAUAAAUAGAGAUUAAUGUUUAAUUCUUGAGUUAAGAGCCGAGACUUUA